AUUGAACGCUGGCGGCAUGCUUUACACAUGCAAGUCGAACGGUAACAGGCCUUCGGGUGCUGACGAGUGGCGAACGGGCGAGUAAUGCAUCGGAACGUACCCAGAGGUGGGGGAUAACGCAGCGAAAGCUGUGCUAAUACCGCAUGUGAUCUGAGGAUGAAAGCGGGGGACCGAGCAGCAAUGUUUGGCCUCGCGCCUUUGGAGCGGCCGAUGUCGGAUUAGCUAGUUGGUGGGGUAAAGGCCUACCAAGGCGACGAUCCGUAGCUGGUCUGAGAGGACGACCAGCCACACUGGGACUGAGACACGGCCCAGACUCCUACGGGAGGCAGCAGUGGGGAAUUUUGGACAAUGGGCGCAAGCCUGAUCCAGCAAUGCCGCGUGCGGGAAGAAGGCCUUCGGGUUGUAAACCGCUUUUGGCAGGAACGAAACGGUGUCCGCUAAUACCGGGCGCUAAUGACGGUACCUGCAGAAUAAGCACCGGCUAACUACGUG
This 492-nucleotide ribosomal RNA is filed under the name uncultured bacterium. Its description in RNAcentral is "partial 16S ribosomal RNA". It matches the Rfam family "Bacterial small subunit ribosomal RNA", at positions 29 to 507 of the family's 1533-position model. The record is from RNAcentral.